CAGAGCUGUUGUAGGAAACUUUAUAGUAUUUUUGCAGGGUGGUUGCAAUUUGUUCAGAAUUUUUCAUCGUCCGUUUACAGUAAAGGUAACGGUUUAGAUUUAGGUAAUAUUUGAACAAGGCUAUCGAUAUGAUCCUAACUCAUCGAUCUUUUUGAGUCGAUUUUCUCAUUUCCCAGUUUGAUGACCCACCAAAAAUCGCCACUAAAACUUUAUUUUUCUUCAAUACUUACAACAGGUAGGUUUACUCUAACUAUUAAAUCUAAUCCAAUUCAAUGUUCCUUUUCAUCUUCUCAAUUUCCCAUAAUAUU
This is a non-coding RNA of Cinara cedri, 308 nucleotides long. NCBI's taxonomy places the organism in Eukaryota, Metazoa, Arthropoda, Insecta, Hemiptera, Aphididae. The record is from the annotation of a GenBank genome assembly.